UGGGGAAUAUUGGUCAAUGGGGGGAACCCUGAACCAGCGACGCCGCGUGAGGGAAGAAGGUCUUCGGAUUGUAAACCUCUGUCUUUGGGGACGAUAAUGACGGUACCCAAGGAGGAAGCCACGGCUAACUACGUGCCAGCAGCCGCGGUAAUACGUAGGUGGCAAGCGUUGUCCGGAAUUACUGGGUGUAAAGGGAGCGUAGGCGGGGCGGCAAGCAAAAUGUGAAACUGAUCGGCUCAACCGGUCAUUGCGUUUUGAACUGUCGCUCUUGAGUGAAGUAGAGGCAGGCGGAAUUCCUAGUGUAGCGGUGAAAUGCGUAGAUAUUAGGAGGAACACCAGUGGCGAAGGCGGCCUGCUGGGCUUUUACUGACGCUGAGGCUCGAAAGUGUGGGUAGCAAACAGG
RNAcentral lists this ribosomal RNA (403 nucleotides) under uncultured bacterium. RNAcentral's name for it is "bacterial SSU rRNA". It matches the Rfam family "Bacterial small subunit ribosomal RNA", at positions 355 to 776 of the family's 1533-position model. The record is from RNAcentral.